This 208-nucleotide long non-coding RNA is filed under the name Linum usitatissimum (flax). RNAcentral's name for it is "long non-coding RNA (LUSI_LNC000104)". The record is from RNAcentral. Lineage: Eukaryota; Viridiplantae; Streptophyta; Magnoliopsida; Malpighiales; Linaceae.
GUUAUUUCCCCUAGUGCCAUGAACGUUUCUGUCCGCAACGUGCGGUAAACCUUCCGACGUUCUAAGGUGUUUCGUCGUCCCGUCGAUCAGUCGUUUCCGUUUGAUUUUGCUUAAUUUUGGAGUCGCCACCAAUUUAUUUGAAGCGAAUUGGACGCUUUAGAUUUAACACAAGUCUUCUUGGACACAAGUAACAUUAGAUCUGCGAAAC